CGGCCACAAAACGCCUGGCGUGGUCAAGUAUAACGAAUUUAUACGGUGAACGGCGAAGAGUUAUCAUAUCAGUUAUAGUUCAUUCGAGGCCUUCUACUCGGAUAACCGUAGUAAUUCUAGAGCUAAUACAUGCAUCAAGCCUCGACCGUUCGGAAGAAUGUAUAUAUAGAUUCGAAACCAAUGCGGGGCAACCCGGAGUGGGGUGAUUCAUAAUAUCUCUCGGAAUCGAUUUAUCGAUGCAUCAUUCAAGUUUCUGCCCUAUCAGCUUUGGAUGGUAGGGUAUUGGCCUACCAUGGCUUUAACGGGUAACGGAGAAUUAGGGUUCGAUUCCGGAGAGGGAGCCUGAGAAAUGGGCUACCACAUCCAAGGAAGAGCAGCAGGCGCGUAAAUUACCCAAUCCUGACACAGGGAGGUAGUGACAAUAAAUAACAAUGCCGAGCCCUUUAAAGGUUUGGCAAUUGGAAUGAGAACAAUUUAAAUCCCUUAUCGAGGAUCAAUUU
RNAcentral lists this ribosomal RNA (500 nucleotides) under uncultured eukaryote. RNAcentral describes it as "SSU rRNA". It matches the Rfam family "Eukaryotic small subunit ribosomal RNA", at positions 38 to 550 of the family's 1831-position model. The record is from RNAcentral.